RNAcentral lists this ribosomal RNA (253 nucleotides) under uncultured bacterium. RNAcentral's name for it is "partial 16S ribosomal RNA". It matches the Rfam family "Bacterial small subunit ribosomal RNA", at positions 524 to 776 of the family's 1533-position model. The record is from RNAcentral.
UACAGAGGGUGCGAGCGUUAAUCGGAAUUACUGGGCGUAAAGCGUGCGUAGACGGUUAUUUAAGUCGGGUGUGAAAGCCCCGGGCUCAACCUGGGAAUUGCAUUUGAUACUGGAUAGCUAGAGUUCGGCAGAGGGAAGUGGAAUUUCUGGUGUAGCGGUGAAAUGCGUAGAUAUCAGAAGGAACAUCAGUGGCGAAAGCGACUUCCUGGACCAGAACUGACGAUCAGGCACGAAAGCGUGGGGAGCAAACAGG